UACCAGCUCUCCGAGUGGUAGGGAUGUUUAUUGGGCUUAAAGCGUCCGUAGCCGGCUUAGCAAGUCACCUGUUAAAUUCAGCGACCUAAUCGUUGAGCCGCGGGAGACACUACUAGGCUAGGAGGCGGGAGAGGCCGACGGUAUUCUCGGGGUAGGGAUGAAAUCCUAUAAUCCCGGGAGGACCACCAGUGGCGAAGGCUGUCGGCUAGAACGCGCUCGACGGUGAGGGACGAAAGCUGGGGGAGCGAACCGGAUUAGAUACCCGGGUAGUCCCAGCUGUAAACGAUGCGGGCUAGGUGUUGGGGUGGCUACGAGCCACUUCAGUGCCGCAGGGAAGCCAUUAAGCCCGCCGCCUGGGGAGUACGGCCGCAAGGCUGAAACUUAAAGGAAUUGGCGGGGGAGCACCACAAGGCGUGAAGCUUGCGGUUC
Molecule: ribosomal RNA, 429 nt
Filed under: uncultured archaeon
Lineage: Archaea
Description: bacterial SSU rRNA
Rfam family: Archaeal small subunit ribosomal RNA
Source: RNAcentral